This 854-nucleotide ribosomal RNA is filed under the name uncultured archaeon. RNAcentral describes it as "bacterial SSU rRNA". It matches the Rfam family "Archaeal small subunit ribosomal RNA", at positions 85 to 922 of the family's 1478-position model. The record is from RNAcentral.
ACUGCUCAGUAACACGUGGCCAACCUGCCCUUGGGACGGGAACACCCCCGGGAAACUGGGGUUAAUUCCCGAUAGGUGAAGAAGUCUGGAAUGAAUCUUCGCUCAAAAGACGUUUAUGUCAUGCUCAUAUUCGUCGCCCAGGGAUGGGGCCGCGACCGAUCAGGUAGUUGGUGAGGCAAUGGCUCACCAAGCCUUUUACCGGUGCGGGCCGUGAGAGCGGGAGCCCGGAGAUGGGCACUGAGACAAGGGCCCAGGCCCCACGGGGCGCAGCAGUCGCGAAAACUUUGCAAUACACGAAAGUGUGACAGGGCUAUCCCGAGUGCCAUCCGCUGAGGAAGGCUUUUACCCAGUAUAAAUAGCUGGGAGAAUAAGGAGAGGGCAAGUCUGGUGUCAGCCGCCGCGGUAAUACCAGCUCUCCGAGUAGUGUGGACGUUUAUUGGGCCUAAAGCAUCCGUAGCUUGCUAGAUAAGUCCUCUGUUAAAUCCACCGAUUCAAUCGUUGGAUUGCGGGGGAUACUGUUUGGCUAGGGGACGGGAGAGGUCGACGGUAUUUCCGGGGUAGGGGUGAAAUCCUAUAAUCCCGGGAAGACCACCAGUGGCGAAGGCUGUCGACUAGAACGCGCCCGACGGUGAGGGAUGAAAGCUGGGGGAGCGAACCGGAUUAGAUACCCGGGUAGUCCCAGCUGUAAACGAUGCAGGCUAGGUGUUUGGGCGGCCACGAGCCGCCCUAGUGCCGCAGGGAAGCUGUUAAGCCUGCCGCCUGGGGAGUACGGCCGCAAGGCUGAAACUUAAAGGAAUUGGCGGGGGAGCACCACAAGGGGUGAAGCUUGCGGUUUAAUUGGAUUCAACGCCGGA